This 496-nucleotide ribosomal RNA is filed under the name uncultured bacterium. Its description in RNAcentral is "partial 16S ribosomal RNA". It matches the Rfam family "Bacterial small subunit ribosomal RNA", at positions 29 to 507 of the family's 1533-position model. The record is from RNAcentral.
AUGAACGCUGGCGGCGUGCCUAAUCCAUGCCAGUCGAGCGAACAGACGAGGAGCUUGCUCCUCUGACGUUAGCGGCGGACGGGUGAGUAACACGUGGAUAACCUACCUAUAAGACUGGGAUAACUUCGGGAAACCGGAGCUAAUACCGGAUAAUUUAUUGAACCGCAUGGUUCAAUAGUGAAAGACGGUUUUGCUGUCACUUAUAGAUGGAUCCGCGCCGCAUUAGCUAGUUGGUAAGGUAACGGCUUACCAAGGCAACGAUGCGUAGCCGACCUGAGAGGGUGAUCGGCCACACUGGAACUGAGACACGGUCCAGACUCCUACGGGAGGCAGCAGUAGGGAAUCUUCCGCAAUGGGCGAAAGCUUGACGGAGCAACGCCGCGUGAGUGAUGAAGGUCUUCGGAUCGUAAAACUCUGUUAUUAGGGAAGAACAAAUGUGUAAGUAACUAUGCACGUCUUGACGGUACCUAAUCAGAAAGCCACGGCUAACUACGUG